Molecule: long non-coding RNA, 868 nt
Organism: Mus musculus (house mouse)
Lineage: Eukaryota; Metazoa; Chordata; Mammalia; Rodentia; Muridae
Product: RIKEN cDNA 4933400L20 gene
Exons: 5
Source: RefSeq, marked validated
AGGUGACAGUCAGCUGCCUCCUGGGAUAACUUAGCAAAGCUCUCCAAAGACCAUGGAACCGGCUUCCCUUUGUUUUCCCCAAAGGGUGUCUCAUUCAAGCCACAUCGUUUGCAAUAUUUAUGAUCCUGCUCCCUGGUCAUCGUUAAGAGCAAGUGGGGCUGGUGGAGCUGAGCCUGCUGGGAUAGAAAAAGGAGCCAUUCUUCAAAGAUCUGUAGAAGGGGAAGCAACAAGGCUGCAGGAGGCAGGCGUAAAUCAACACUUGCUGUAUACAGAGUUGGGCUCGAAUCGUCUCCCAGAAAGAACUGCCACUCUUCUCCUUGGAGCUCCUCCUUGACCAACCUAAGAAGAAUGCCUAAGGGAAAUGGGCUGACUGAAAUCUCAAGCCAAAUAUGGACAAGAGUGCAGUUUAUGACCGGUGAAAGCCUGGGCUCUUUCCCUUCUGCUGGAGUUCCUUGUGCAGCUGCUGUUGGACUUCACGGGCUGUACUACGGAUUCUCCAGCUGGCCAUGAGCUAUGCAACCUUACCAACGACACACGGUCUUCUUCUCUGCUCCACUUAAGACAGAUAACAGCAGAAAGCAAGCUGGCACUAAGCAUCAUUUAGAAGGAAUUGAUGUCAACCCCAACUUGAUGCCAUUGCCUGCACCCCAGGCACAGAUGUCGGAAGAUGAUAAAUGGCCAUCGAUCUGUCCAGCAACAGUAGGGCAAGGCACACCUACAAUUACUCUCCUUUGCUAAUGACCCCAUUAGCCACUGGAUCAAACACUGUUAGUGGGUGUGAUGAUGCUACAGUUAUUCCCUUGUCGAUACCCAUUGGCCUGAUCUAUACUGUCAGCCAAUGGAUUCCCAAAUAAAUAGUAAAGACCCC